CCUACGGGCGGCUGCAGUGGGGAAUAUUGGGCAAUGGAGGAAACUCUGAUGCAGCAACGCCGCGUGAGUGAUGAAGGUCUUCGGUUUGUAAAGCUCUUUUAUCAGGGAAGAAGAUAGUGACGGUAGAUUAGGAAUACGCCUCGGCUAACUACGCGCCAGCAGCCGCGGUAAUACGUAGGAGGCGAGCGUUAUCCGGAAUGACUGGGCGUAAAGGGUGCGUAGGUGGUUUGGCAAGUUAGUAGCGUAACUCCAAGGCUCAACCUUGGAACUGCUACUAAAACUGUUGGGCUUGAGUGCAGGAGAGGCAAGCGGAAUUCCUAGUGUAGCGGUGGAAUGCGUAGAUAUUAGGAGGAACACCAGUGGCGAAGGCGGGUUACUAGACUGUAACUGACGCUGAGGCACGAAAGCGUGGGGAGCAAACAGGAUUAGAUACCCGGGUAGUC
This 443-nucleotide ribosomal RNA is filed under the name uncultured bacterium. RNAcentral's name for it is "partial 16S ribosomal RNA". It matches the Rfam family "Bacterial small subunit ribosomal RNA", at positions 338 to 795 of the family's 1533-position model. The record is from RNAcentral.